GACGAACGCUGGCGGCGUGCUUAACACAUGCAAGUCGAACGGAAAGGCCCUGCUUUUGUGGGGUGCUCGAGUGGCGAACGGGUGAGUAACACGUGAGUAACCUGCCCUUGACUUUGGGAUAACUUCAGGAAACUGGGGCUAAUACCGGAUAGGAGCUCCUGCUGCAUGGUGGGGGUUGGAAAGUUUCGGCGGUUGGGGAUGGACUCGCGGCUUAUCAGCUUGUUGGUGGGGCAGUGGCUUACCAAGGCUUUGACGGGUAGCCGGCCUGAGAGGGUGACCGGCCACAUUGGGACGGGGAUACGGCCCAGACUCCUACGGGAGGCAGCAGGGGGGAAUAUUGCACAAUGGGCGGAAGCCUGAUGCAGCAACGCCGCGUGCGGGAUGACGGCCUUCGGGUUGUAAACCGCUUUCGCCUGUGACGAAGCGUGGGUGACGGUAAUGGGUAAAGAAGCACCGGCUAACUACGU
Molecule: ribosomal RNA, 467 nt
Filed under: uncultured bacterium
Lineage: Bacteria
Description: partial 16S ribosomal RNA
Rfam family: Bacterial small subunit ribosomal RNA
Source: RNAcentral